UACGAAGGAUCCAAGCGUUGUCCGGAUUUAUUGGGUUUAAAGGGUGCGUAGGCGGUCUUUUAAGUCAGUGCUGAAAUACUCCAGCUUAACUGGAGGGGUGGCAUUGAUACUGGAAGACUUGAGUGUAGUCGAGGUAGGCGGAAUUGACGGUGUAGCGGUGAAAUGCUUAGAUAUCGUCAAGAACACCGAUAGUGAAGACAGCUUACUAGGCUACAACUGACGCUGAGGCACGAAAGUGUGGGGAUCAAACAGG
RNAcentral lists this ribosomal RNA (253 nucleotides) under uncultured bacterium. RNAcentral's name for it is "partial 16S ribosomal RNA". It matches the Rfam family "Bacterial small subunit ribosomal RNA", at positions 524 to 776 of the family's 1533-position model. The record is from RNAcentral.